AUUGAACGCUGGCGGCAGGCCUAACACAUGCAAGUCGAGCGGAUGAAGGGAGCUUGCUCCUGGAUUCAGCGGCGGACGGGUGAGUAAUGCCUAGGAAUCUGCCUGGUAGUGGGGGAUAACGUCCGGAAACGGGCGCUAAUACCGCAUACGUCCUGAGGGAGAAAGUGGGGGAUCUUCGGACCUCACGCUAUCAGAUGAGCCUAGGUCGGAUUAGCUAGUUGGUGGGGUAAAGGCCUACCAAGGCGACGAUCCGUAACUGGUCUGAGAGGAUGAUCAGUCACACUGGAACUGAGACACGGUCCAGGCUCCUACGGGAGGGCGCAGUGGGGAAUAUUGGACAAUGGGCGAAAGCCUGAUCCAGCCAUGCCGCGUGUGUGAAGAAGGUCUUCGGAUUGUAAAGCACUUUAAGUUGGGAGGAAGGGCAGUAAGUUAAUACCUUGCUGUUUUGACGUUACCAACAGAAUAAGCACCGGCUAACUUCGCG
RNAcentral lists this ribosomal RNA (484 nucleotides) under uncultured bacterium. Its description in RNAcentral is "partial 16S ribosomal RNA". It matches the Rfam family "Bacterial small subunit ribosomal RNA", at positions 30 to 507 of the family's 1533-position model. The record is from RNAcentral.